CUCGUAGGCGGUUUGUCGCGUCGGGAGUGAAAACACCGGGCUUAACUCGGUGCUGGCUUUCGAUACGGGCAGACUAGAGGUAUGCAGGGGAGAACGGAAUUCCUGGUGUAGCGGUGAAAUGCGCAGAUAUCAGGAGGAACACCGGUGGCGAAGGCGGUUCUCUGGGCAUGUCCUGACGCUGAGGAGCGAAAGUGUGGGGAGCGAACA
RNAcentral lists this ribosomal RNA (207 nucleotides) under uncultured bacterium. Its description in RNAcentral is "partial 16S ribosomal RNA". It matches the Rfam family "Bacterial small subunit ribosomal RNA", at positions 568 to 774 of the family's 1533-position model. The record is from RNAcentral.